This 490-nucleotide ribosomal RNA is filed under the name uncultured bacterium. RNAcentral's name for it is "bacterial SSU rRNA". It matches the Rfam family "Bacterial small subunit ribosomal RNA", at positions 28 to 494 of the family's 1533-position model. The record is from RNAcentral.
GACUAACGCUGGCGGCGUGCCUAACACAUGCAAGUCGUACGAGAAAGUUGGCUUCGGCCGAUGAGUAAAGUGGCGCACGGGUGAGUAAUGCGUGGAUAAUCUGCCCUUUAGUUGGGAAUAACGUACCGAAAGGUGCGCUAAUACCUGAUAAUACUGCAUAACUACUGUUGUGUAGUCAAAGAAGGCCUCUGUUUACAAGCUUUUGCUGAAGGAUGAGUCCGCGUACCAUUAGCUGGUUGGUGGGGUAAUGGCCUACCAAGGCUACGAUGGUUAGCUGGUCUGAGAGGAUGAUCAGCCACACUGGAACUGAGACACGGUCCAGACUCCUACGGGAGGCAGCAGUGAGGAAUAUUGCGCAAUGGGGGCAACCCUGACGCAGCAACGCCGCGUGAGUGAGGAAGGUUUUCGGACCGUAAAGCUCUGUCGAGCGGGAAGAAAUGUAUCAUGGCUAAUAUCCAUGAUACUUGACGGUACCGCUAAAGGAAGCACC